This 472-nucleotide ribosomal RNA is filed under the name uncultured bacterium. RNAcentral describes it as "bacterial SSU rRNA". It matches the Rfam family "Bacterial small subunit ribosomal RNA", at positions 329 to 793 of the family's 1533-position model. The record is from RNAcentral.
CUACGCACUCCUACGGGAGGCAGCAGUGGGGAAUAUUGCACAAUCGGGCGCAAGCCUGAUGCAGCCAUGCCGCGUGUAUGAAGAAGGCCUUCGGGUUGUAAAGUACUUUCAGCAGUGAGGAAGGUGGGUAUGUUAAUAGCAUAUUCAUUUGACGUUAGCUGCAGAAGAAGCACCGGCUAACUCCGUGCCAGCAGCCGCGGUAAUACGGAGGGUGCGAGCGUUAAUCGGAAUUACUGGGCGUAAAGCGCAUGCAGGUGGUUUGUUAAGUCAGAUGUGAAAGCCCGGGGCUCAACCUCGGAAUUGCAUUUGAAACUGGCAAACUAGAGUACUGUAGAGGGGGUAGAAUUUCAGGUGUAGCGGUGAAAUGCGUAGAGAUCUGAAGGAAUACCGGUGGCGAAGGCGGCCCCCUGGACAGAUACUGACACUCAGAUGCGAAAGCGUGGGGAGCAAACAGGAUUAGAUACCCUGGUAG